GAUGAACGCUGGCGGCGUGCCUAAUACAUGCAAGUCGAGCGAACAGACGAGGAGCUUGCUCCUCUGACGUUAGCGGCGGACGGGUGAGUAACACGUGGAUAACCUACCUAUAAGACUGGGAUAACUUCGGGAAACCGGAGCUAAUACCGGAUAAUAUAUUGAACCGCAUGGUUCAAUAGUGAAAGACGGUUUUGCUGUCACUUAUAGAUGGAUCCGCGCCGCAUUAGCUAGUUGGUAAGGUAACGGCUUACCAAGGCAACGAUGCGUAGCCGACCUGAGAGGGGGAUCGGCCACACUGGAACUGAGACACGGUCCAGACUCCUACGGGAGGCAGCAGUAGGGAAUCUUCCGCAAUGGGCGAAAGCCUGACGGAGCAACGCCGCGUGAGUGAUGAAGGUCUUCGGAGCGUAAAACUCUGUUAUUAGGGAAGAACAAAUGUGUAAGUAACUAUGCACGUCUUGACGGUACCUAAUCAGAAAGCAACGGCUAACUACGUG
This 497-nucleotide ribosomal RNA is filed under the name uncultured bacterium. Its description in RNAcentral is "partial 16S ribosomal RNA". It matches the Rfam family "Bacterial small subunit ribosomal RNA", at positions 28 to 507 of the family's 1533-position model. The record is from RNAcentral.